UGGUCCGAUCCGGUGUUGAGAUCAUCAGAAGCCCUCUCGAAGCCAUCUGCCGACCUUUCCGAAAUAGCCGUUGGUCCCUGUCAUGAGCUGCCGCGUAUGCCGCGGUUCAACGUGUUCAAGGUGUGCGAAUUGCGGAUAGACCAGGAGGCCGGUCGGCACCGCGAACGAUGCGCUCUUGGCCUCGUUGGGCAGCCGGCCGAAGCCGAGCGGGCGCC
This 215-nucleotide unclassified non-coding RNA is filed under the name Hevea brasiliensis (rubber tree). The record is from RNAcentral. Lineage: Eukaryota; Viridiplantae; Streptophyta; Magnoliopsida; Malpighiales; Euphorbiaceae.